This 421-nucleotide ribosomal RNA is filed under the name uncultured bacterium. RNAcentral describes it as "bacterial SSU rRNA". It matches the Rfam family "Bacterial small subunit ribosomal RNA", at positions 28 to 436 of the family's 1533-position model. The record is from RNAcentral.
GACGAACGCUGGCGGCAUGCUUAACACAUGCAAGUCGAACGGAUUAUCGGAAGAGUAGCGAUACUAAGAAGAUAGUUAGUGGCGAACGGGUGAGUAACGCGUGAGCAACCUGCCUUGUACACUGGGAUAACAGGGAGAAAUUCCUGCUAAUACCGGAUAUGACCACAGAGGGGCAUCCCUCAGGGGUGAAAGCGAAUAAGUGGUACAAGAUGGGCUCGCGUCCCAUUAGCUAGUUGGUGAGAUAACAGCCCACCAAGGCGACGAUGGGUAGCCGACUUGAGAGAGUGAUCGGCCACAAUGGAACUGAGACACGGUCCAUACUCCUACGGGAGCAGCAGUGGGAAUAUUGGGGCAAUGGGCGAAAGCCUUACCCAGCAAUGCCGCGUGAUUGAAGAAGGGUCUUCGGAUUGUAAAGGUCUUU